AUUGAACGCUGGCGGCAGGCCUAACACAUGCAAGUCGAGCGGAUGAGAGGAGCUUGCUCCUCGAUUCGGCGGCGGACGGGUGAGUAAUGCCUAGGAAUCUGCCCAGUAGUGGGGGACAACGUUUCGAAAGGAACGCUAAUACCGCAUACGUCCUACGGGAGAAAGUGGGGGAUCUUCGGACCUCACGCCAUUGGAUGAGCCUAGGUCGGAUUAGCUAGUUGGUAGGGUAAAGGCCUACCAAGGCGACGAUCCGUAACUGGUCUGAGAGGAUGAUCAGUCACACUGGAACUGAGACACGGUCCAGACUCCUACGGGAGGCAGCAGUGGGGAAUAUUGGACAAUGGGCGCAAGCCUGAUCCAGCCAUGCCGCGUGUGUGAAGAAGGCCCUCGGGUCGUAAAGCACUUUAAGUUGGGAGGAAGGGCUUACAGCGAAUACCUGUGAGUUUUGACGUUACCGACAGAAUAAGCACCGGCUAACUUCGUGCCAGCCGCCGCAGUAA
This 500-nucleotide ribosomal RNA is filed under the name uncultured bacterium. RNAcentral's name for it is "partial 16S ribosomal RNA". It matches the Rfam family "Bacterial small subunit ribosomal RNA", at positions 30 to 523 of the family's 1533-position model. The record is from RNAcentral.